CUCAUUCACUCAACCAGCGAACCCCAUUUAUCCUUAAGAUCAAACCUUAAUCACUCACUCACCUCUCAUACGCCGCCCUCAUUCUAUCUCACUCCCUCUUCUCUCACCAUUUUUACCCAAUGAACCCCAACGGCAACUGGUGGUUCACCACCCUCUCUCCCAUCACUAAACCCCCACAUUUUCCCCUUUCUUUCUUCUCUAUCAGAUCUCUGGACCUUUCCCUAGUACGAGAGGACCGGGAAAGACGCACCUCUGGUGUACCAGUUAUCGUGCCCACGGUAAAUGAUGGGUAGCCAAGUGCGUAGCGGAGAAAUGCGGAGGUCUAUCACUUAUCCCGGUCAAAUUACUUUGGCCUUCAUAGGAUCUGGAAGAUCCUUUGGUUUUGUUAAAGAAACAGUCAAGAUUUGGUGAGCCAAAGCAUAUUCGAGAUGGAGCUUCAAAAAUGGGAGCGAACAGCCCUCAACGACUCCUUCUCCUCACAUCAAUCCCUUAAAAGAUAAGUAGAUGUGCAUGCGCCCUUCGUUUUCUUUGAUCCUGGAGAAUGACUGAUAAGGAUAUUGUUUUACUAUACAUGUUCUGGAGUAAAAAAAGUUCGAAUAUGACCUUUAUUGCUAGUAAAGUUAUGUGAUUGCAUGUUUGACAAACUCACCUAGAAGUUUAUUACCUGCCAAACUAGGGCACAGAGGAUUUAAUGAGUUUUGCAUGUCUUACUUGGUUGAUUGGAGCUUGCUGGCAUCUCAUAUGUGUAAUCACGGUUGUCCUCAUAGUAAUCCUGCCUUGGUUUCAAGAUAUCCUCCCAGAAAUUCUAAAUGCUUAUGUAUGUAUUAUGUUUGAGGCAUUUGAAACAUUGAUUUGUAAACCUUAGACCUAGAAUUAGAAGUUCUAUAAUCCGUGAUAGGUGUUCCUGUUGUGUAACAGUUUGUUUGAAAGACCUACUAGUUAGGAAAAUCUCGUGUUUAACUCCCCCAUGGAGGAAAAGGGGUUAGUGGCUACUGAUAUUCAUUAUAAAGAUUGAUUCUCAUCAAAGGAUAUCCUUCCUUGGCACAAGCACUGCUCUGGGUCCUUGAGACCCUUGUGAACUCUGAAGUGUCCGAGGUCUAAGGGAGAUCCUUUGAAAGCGUAAUGUGUUUAAGAAAUUCAGUAGUUCUUACUUUGCUAACCUUUGGGGAAUUAUUCACAAUUGUUUGGUUUAACUUACCUUGUUUAUCUGAUGCUACAAUUAUGCAUUACUUUGUCAUUGUAUUUCUGUCUUUACUUUUCUUAUCAAAUAAAAUCAAGUUAUCUCUUCCUUUA
This is a long non-coding RNA of Nicotiana tabacum (common tobacco), 1293 nucleotides long. RefSeq lists it as uncharacterized. The record is from RefSeq and is a predicted model, not a curated record. NCBI's taxonomy places the organism in Eukaryota, Viridiplantae, Streptophyta, Magnoliopsida, Solanales, Solanaceae.